Arachis duranensis is the source of this 304-nucleotide long non-coding RNA. RefSeq lists it as uncharacterized. Lineage: Eukaryota; Viridiplantae; Streptophyta; Magnoliopsida; Fabales; Fabaceae. The transcript is spliced from 2 exons. The record is from RefSeq and is a predicted model, not a curated record.
AGUUAGUGCUAUUGUUCCAACAAUGAUAGCUACAAUAGUUUUUAAUACAUCAGAAAGUUCAUUGGAUACUAUGAAUAAAUGGCUCAAUGUGGUUUAGUCAAUUCAGAUUCCUUUUGCACUCAUUCCACUUCUUACAUUGGUGUUUAAAGAAAAGGUCAUGGGAACUUUUAGAAUAGGCCCUAUUGUAGAGGUAAGCUUUGUUUGCAUUCUAAUUUUUGUAAAAUUGAUUUUGAUGUAUAAUGAUUAUGUUUGGUAAUUUGUCUAAAAGUAAUUUCUUCCUUCAAAAAAUAAAUGAUUCUAAAUA